This 1141-nucleotide ribosomal RNA is filed under the name Stenotrophomonas maltophilia. Its description in RNAcentral is "bacterial SSU rRNA". The stretch from base 1 to 904 matches the Rfam family "Bacterial small subunit ribosomal RNA". Lineage: Bacteria; Pseudomonadati; Pseudomonadota; Gammaproteobacteria; Lysobacterales; Lysobacteraceae. The record is from RNAcentral.
UUGCUCCUUGGGAGGCGAGUGGCGAAUGGGUGACGAAUACAUCCCAAUCCACGCUGUCGUGGGGGAUAACGUAGGGAAACUUACGCUAAUACCGCACACGACCUACGGGUGAAAGCGGGGGAUCUCCCGACCUUGCACGAUUGAAUGACCCAAUAUCUGAUUAGCGAGAUGGCGGGGUAAAGGCCCACCAAGGCGACGAUGCUCAGAUGGUCUGAGAGGAUGAUCAGCCACUGAGACACUGACCCACCUCCCACACUCCUACGGGAGGCAGAAUUGGGGAAUAUUGGACAAUGGGCGCACCCCUGAUCCAGCCAGACCGCGUGGGUGAAGAAGGCCUUCGGGUUGUUUAGCCCUUUUGUUGGGAAAGAAAUCCAUCUGGUUAAUACCCGGGUGGGAUGACGGUACCCAAAGAAUACUCACCGGCUAACUUCGUGCCCGCUACCGCGGUAAUAGCAAGGGUGCAUCCGAUUCUCUGAAUUACUGGGCGUAAAGCGUGGUUAGGUGGUCGUUUUGUUCCGUUGUGAGGCUCCUGGGCUCAACCUGGGAACUGCCUGGGAUACUGGACGACUAGAAAGUGGUAGAGAAUUCCCGGAAUUCCUGGUGUAUGCGUAAAAUGCGUAGAGGAACACGAGGAACAUCCAUGGCCAACGCGGACUACCUGGACCAACAUUGACACUGAGGCGUGGGGACGUGGGGAGCAAACAUACACUAGAUACCCUGGUACUCCACGCUCUAAACGAUGCGAUGUGGAUGUUUGGGUGCUCAUUUGGCACACUUAUCCGAAGUAUAAUCGCCUUCAUGUUCGACUCCUGGGGGAGUGCGUGUCGCAAGACAGGAAUCUCACAGGGAACUCGACGCGAGGCCGCGCGACACGCGGGUGGUAUAUUGCUGGUUUAACUUCGAUGCAACCGCACAAGACUCUUAACCAUGGGCCGUGACAUGUUCGAGAAACUGUACCAGAUGAUGGUAUUGGUGCUCCUUCGAGGCACUCGACUACAUGCUGCUUGCCAUGGCCUGUCGGUCAGCUUCGAUGUUCGUGAGUAUGAUCGCGUUAAGUACCGCAGCGAAGUCGUCCUCCAUGCCUAGUGCAUGCGAUCGUAAUCGUGGAGAAUCAUCUCUCGCAGGUGAGUCUACACCUAGC